GACCCAUAGCUACUCCAUCCCGAGUAGCCAUGGGCUUACCAUAGAAGGAACAAACUCUUAAUCUUAGAACUGUUUUAGGCAGUGGGCGUGAUGGUUAAAAACUCGGCCUUUGGCGUCAGACCUCAGACGGAGAUCUACCAAUUAGGAAAUUAGCUGUGAUUUAGAAAAUUUAAUAUUUCGAUGCCAUACUUUCCUAAUCCGCAAAAUAUUUGUAAAUACCUGUGACCUAGUGUCGUGAGCGCUUAGCAACACCUGACACACACUAAGCUCUCAAUAAGUGGUAGCUUUAGUAUUACCAUUAUAUCCCAAUUAGUACAAGCACCUUACCUUUAUGCUUUCAUGGUUGUUCUAGGCCAGUGGUUCUGAAAGUGGUUCUAGACCAGCAACAACAGCAGUAGCAGCAGCACCUGUGAACUUGUUAGAAAUGCAAAGUUUCAGGCCCGUUCCAGUUCUACUGAAUCUGAAACUCGAAGGGAACAGCAACCUAUGUUUUAAUAAACCCCAAGGUAUAUACCCAGUGAUAUGAAUGCUGGAUCAUAAGACAGAAACAAUGUAUUACUACAUUUUUGUUGCUGGGGAAAAGAACUGACUUGAUGUACUUCCUCAGAAGAGAGACAGAACACCAGGAAAGAAAAUACAGAUUUCCCCAGACUCUACCUGCUAUCACCAUUUUGUUGUAAUACACCUUAACUCAGAAUAAACAGAAGAGUCCAAGAACCUCUGGUUGUUUGCAGAUGGUCGCCAGAGAACCAUGAUGACAAAGAGGAUCAUGGAGAACAGCAAGCGCCAGAUGGCAUCGUCUACCCACAGCUCCCGCCAGUCCUACAAUACGGGGGAGAAGUACAUCAUUUAUACAUGUUAUCUUAACCCCUUGUUCAUAAAGCCUUUGGCAUAGAACAAAAA
Molecule: non-coding RNA, 903 nt
Filed under: Pongo abelii (Sumatran orangutan)
Lineage: Eukaryota; Metazoa; Chordata; Mammalia; Primates; Hominidae
Source: RNAcentral